Molecule: long non-coding RNA, 347 nt
Filed under: Bos mutus (wild yak)
Lineage: Eukaryota; Metazoa; Chordata; Mammalia; Artiodactyla; Bovidae
Description: lncRNA (ENSBMUG00000018086.1)
Source: RNAcentral
GGCGCUUCCGCUCCGGGAAAGCGCAGCCGCCACCAUUUCUUUCGGUCUGGGAGGAAGCACUGAGUCACCCCGCGCUAGUGCCUCGGAAUGUCCGCUGCAGUUUAUACAGGAAACGUGAGACGAACACAGUCAUUCUGUCCCACCGCAUCGUUUUCAUCGCCCGUCUUGAAUCCGGAAGGGAGGGAAAGGAAGGACUUCCUGCCUCCUCAGAGCAUAGCCGCAGUUAUGCCUUCUCAGGACUCUGACUUUCCCCAGAAGGAACAUGAGAAAAUGACCGAGUUUCAGGUAAGUAAGGCAUUGCUUUCUGUCUUCUAAGGAUUUUAUUUCUCAGAGAUUAGGGACAUCUU